GACGAACGCUGGCGGCGUGCUUAACACAUGCAAGUCGAACGGAAAGGCCUGCUUUCCCUUGUGGAUUGCGGGUACUCGAGUGGCGAACGGGUGAGUAACACGUGAGUGAUCUGCCCCCAACUUGGGUAUAAGCCUGGGAAACUGGGUCUAAUUCCCGAUAGGACUGCAGGGUGGUGCCUGUGGUGGAAAACGAUUUUCUAGUGGUUGGGGAUGAGCUCGCGGCCUAUCAGCUUGUUGGUGGGGGAAUGGCCUACCAAGGCGGCGACGGGUAGCCGGCCUGAGAGGGGGGACGGCCACAUUGGGACUGGGAUACGGCCCAGACUCCUACGGGAGGCAGCAGUGGGGAAUAUUGCACAAUGGGCGGAAGCCUGAUGCAGCGACGCCGCGUGGGGGAUGACGGCCUUCGGGUUGUAAACUCCUUUCGACCGCGAGGAAGCCACCUGGUUGGAAGGGUGGUGACGGUAGUGGUAGAAGAAGCACCGGCUAACUACGUG
RNAcentral lists this ribosomal RNA (494 nucleotides) under uncultured bacterium. RNAcentral's name for it is "partial 16S ribosomal RNA". It matches the Rfam family "Bacterial small subunit ribosomal RNA", at positions 28 to 507 of the family's 1533-position model. The record is from RNAcentral.